UGCAGUCGGACGGGAUUGAGGAGCUUGCUUCUCAUGAGAGUGGCGCACGGGUGCGUAACACGUAUGUAACCUACCUUGUUCAGGGGGAUAGCCUCUCGAAAGAGAGAUUAACACCGCAUAAAAUCAAUUUAUGGCAUCAUAGAAUGAUCAAAUAUUUAUAGGAACAAGAUGGGCAUGCGGAACAUUAGCUAGUUGGUAAGGUAACGGCUUACCAAGGCUACGAUGUUUAGGGGAUCUGAGAGGAUGACCCCCCACACUGGUACUGAGACACGGACCAGACUCCUACGGGAGGCAGCAGUAAGGAAUAUUGGUCAAUGGACGCAAGUCUGGACCAGCCAUGCCGCGUGCAGGAAGACGGCCCUACGGGUUGUAAACCGCUUUUGUACCGGAAUAAACCUUUUCACGUGUGAGAAGCUGAAUGUACGGUAAGAAUAAGGAUCGGCUAACUCCGUGCCAGCAGCCGCGGUAAUACGGAGGAUCCAAGCGUUAUCCGGAUUUAUUGGGUUUAAAGGGUGCGUAGGUGGCCUAUUAAGUCAGGGGUGAAAGACGGUAGCUUAACUAUCGCAGUGCCUUUGAUACUGAUGGGCUUGAAUACACUUGAGGUAGGCGGAAUGUGACAAGUAGCGGUGAAAUGCAUAGAUAUGUCACAGAACACCAAUUGCGAAGGCAGCUUACUAAAGUGUUAUUGACACUGAGGCACGAAAGCGUGGGGAUCAAACAGGAUUAGAUACCCUGGUAGUCCACGCCCUAAACGAUGAAUACUCGAUGUUGGCGAUAUACGGUCAGCGUCUAAGCGAAAGCGUUAAGUAUUCCACCUGGGGAGUACGCCCGCAAGGGUGAAACUCAAAGGAAUUGACGGGGGCCCGCACAAGCGGAGGA
This 879-nucleotide ribosomal RNA is filed under the name uncultured bacterium. Its description in RNAcentral is "bacterial SSU rRNA". It matches the Rfam family "Bacterial small subunit ribosomal RNA", at positions 56 to 936 of the family's 1533-position model. The record is from RNAcentral.